CCUACGGGUGGCAGCAGUGGGGAAUAUUGCUCAAUGGGCGAGAGCCUGACGCAGCGACGCCGCGUGAGGGAUGAAGGUCUUCGGAUUGUAAACCUCUGUCAGCCGGGAAGAACAGUCACUGUGCUAAUCAGCAGUGAAUUGACGGUACCUGCAAAGGACGCACCAGCUAACUCCGUGACAGCAGCCGCGGUAAUACGGAGGGUGCGAGCGUUAAUCGGAAUUACUGGGCGUAAAGCGCUCGUAGCCGGGUUGACAAGUCAGAUGUUAAAUCCUGCGGCUUAACCGCAGAACUGCAUUUGAAACUGUUGAUCUUGAGUACUGGAGAGGGAGGCGGAAUUCCUGGUGUAGCGGUGAAAUGCGUAGAUAUUAGGAGGAACACCGGUGGCGAAGGCGGUCUGCUGGACAGCAACUGACGGUGAGGCGCGAAAGCGUGGGGAGCAAACAGGAUUAGAUACCCCGGUAGUC
This 465-nucleotide ribosomal RNA is filed under the name uncultured bacterium. RNAcentral describes it as "partial 16S ribosomal RNA". It matches the Rfam family "Bacterial small subunit ribosomal RNA", at positions 338 to 795 of the family's 1533-position model. The record is from RNAcentral.